This 362-nucleotide long non-coding RNA is filed under the name Physcomitrium patens. RNAcentral's name for it is "long non-coding RNA (PPAT_LNC003423)". Lineage: Eukaryota; Viridiplantae; Streptophyta; Bryopsida; Funariales; Funariaceae. The record is from RNAcentral.
UUUAUAUGAAGGAGAUAUAGGCCCUCAAAGUUGAGGUAUUGAUUUGGGAGCUAUUGUAACCCUUUUCGGUAUAACAUAUGCAUACGGAAGGCAAUUGAGGAUUGGUGGCUGCGACUGGAGAGAGCACCUUUACGGCUAUACUUUUUGCAUAUUGUUUACUAGAUUCCAAGUUGAAGUAAAGGAGUUAUUCGAUUCUGAAGUUAGUACAUACAAUCUAAGGGUAGUAAGUGAUCCGAUUUACAAGUAGUUGUGACUUGAGCUAUAUCUUGAGCAAUUUGAUAAGGUUUUGAUUCAAAAUUUUAAGAAAUAUGUAUAUUCAUAUUAAUAAACAUAGUACAUAAGUUUGAUGAUAUUUGAAUAUU